UCCACUAGCUUCUGCCAUCACCAACCUAUUGUCUUCCUGCUGAUCUCCCUCCAGUGCAUCAGCCCUUACAGCUAUGUGAGUCAAGAGAAGCCUCCAGUUUGACACCUGACCUAUGGACUUGGAACAUUCCCCACUGAAAACUUGCCACUUCUACAACUAUUGAAGAAUUUGGUGGACUUCCUCGAUUACUUCAUCACUAGAGACUUUGCUUCCAAAGGGAGGACUAUUCCCACCAGUAAAUACAACAUUGAUUCCAUUGAACUGAAAGUUAAAGAGAAGUUAAAGAAUCUGGCCACUAGGACACCUUGUGCCACCAGAUCAACAGGCAAAGAAGAGAGUAAUCAUGGAGAUCAGUGUGCGUGAUCCUGAUUACCAAGGGGAAAUUGAAUGGAUAUCCCCUGGCAUAUUGGGCUAUCCUGGACUGCUAACUGGAAGGUCAUCUAUUCAAGCUCACUAGCUACUCUAAGGGGAAACCAAGUUUAGGUCACCCUAUAUUGUGGGUUUACUUGUGUCUACCCCAAAGUGGUUAUAAUCACACAUAGGAAUCGCUUGUCUUUGCUAUGUCAAGAUUAAUGUAAUGGAAGGUUUUAGCAACACUACAUGACUUAAACACCCUCUAGGCAAACGACCAUGACUAACUGUAGUGGUUGUUGAGGGCAAAGGGAAUAUGAACUUGGUGGUAGAAAACAGGAGUUCUAAAUACCAGUUAGGAUCCUGCUGCAGAAACUAGAAUUGUAAUUGUUAUUAAUAUUUAUUAUUUUGUUACAUUUGUAUAUGUGUGGGUACCCAUGUGCACACACACAUACAUAAAUAUUUUUUCUAGUGAAGGAUGGGGGAUGGGGAAAGGAGCUCUGGAACUAAUUUUGGUUACACAACUCAUUUUAAAAGCAAUUUAACCAUAGAUGUAUGUGAUACGUGAGUACUAUAUCAAGAAAACCAUAUUAAAAAAAAAAAAGGAAGAAAACUUGACCAAGGGCAAUCAUAGGUGAAGGGAAAAGGGUUGUCAUGUAGCGGCUAUUGAGUUUAUGUCCAUGGUGGUAGAAUAAUUUGGAAAAGGUUAUCAAUAGUGUGUUGAUAGUGGCUGUACAGCAUGAAAAGUAUAAUCAGUGACACGGAAUUUUAUAAGUAGAAGUUGUGGAAUUAGAAAAAAGAUUACCUAGGGGCAUGUUAGGGGAGGUUGGAGGUGGGCUGAGAAAAUGGAACUCUGAAAAUGGGUAAGAGGAAAAAAUGCUCUGAAAUUGAUUGUGUUGAUGAUUGCCCCGC
This is a long non-coding RNA of Echinops telfairi (small Madagascar hedgehog), 1263 nucleotides long. RefSeq lists it as uncharacterized. The transcript is spliced from 3 exons. The record is from RefSeq and is a predicted model, not a curated record. NCBI's taxonomy places the organism in Eukaryota, Metazoa, Chordata, Mammalia, Afrosoricida, Tenrecidae.